Molecule: ribosomal RNA, 497 nt
Filed under: uncultured bacterium
Lineage: Bacteria
Description: partial 16S ribosomal RNA
Rfam family: Bacterial small subunit ribosomal RNA
Source: RNAcentral
AUUGAACGCUGGCGGCAUGCCUUACACAUGCAAGUCGGACGGUAACAGGUCUUCGGAUGCUGACGAGUGGCGAACGGGUGAGUAUACAUCGGAACGUGCCCGAGAGUGGGGGAUAACGAAGCGAAAGCUUUGCCAAUACCGCAUACGAUCUCAGGAUGAAAGCGGGGGACCGCAAGGCCUUGCGCUCACGGAGCGGCCGAUGGCAGAUUAGGUAGUUGGUGGGAUAAAAGCUGACCAAGCCGACGAUCUGUAGCUGGUCUGAGAGGACGACCAGCCACACUGGGACUGAGACACGGCCCAGACUCCUACGGGAGGCAGCAGUGGGGAAUUUUGGACAAUGGGCGCAAGCCUGAUCCAGCCAUGCCGCGUGCAGGAUGAAGGCCUUCGGGUUGUAAACUGCUUUUGUACGGAACGAAAAGACUCUGGUUAAUACCUGGGGUCCAUGACGGUACCGUAAGAAUAAGCACCGGCUAACUACGUGCCAGCCGCCGCAGUAA